Molecule: non-coding RNA, 76 nt
Filed under: human gut metagenome
Description: ZMP/ZTP riboswitch
Rfam family: ZMP/ZTP riboswitch aptamer (pfl RNA motif)
About the family: Previously known as pfl RNA. ZMP is also known as AICAR.
Source: RNAcentral
CUUUAUGUGACUGACGGAAUCUUGUGGAGCACCACAGGGGAGCAUAAAGUUGAAAGGCCGACCGUCUGGGCAAUCU